This 246-nucleotide ribosomal RNA is filed under the name uncultured bacterium. RNAcentral's name for it is "partial 16S ribosomal RNA". It matches the Rfam family "Bacterial small subunit ribosomal RNA", at positions 333 to 593 of the family's 1533-position model. The record is from RNAcentral.
UAGGUCCUACGGGGCGCAGCAGUGGGGAAUAUUGGGCAAUGGGCGCAAGCCUGACCCAGCAACGCCGCGUGAAGGAAGAAGGCUUUCGGGUUGUAAACUUCUUUUCUUAGGGACGAAGAAAGUGACGGUACCUAAGGAAUAAGCCACGGCUAACUACGUGCCAGCAGCCGCGGUAAUACGUAGGUGGCAAGCGUUAUCCGGAUUUACUGGGUGUAAAGGGCGUGUAGGCGGGGCUGCAAGUUAGAU